Molecule: ribosomal RNA, 376 nt
Filed under: uncultured organism
Description: partial 16S ribosomal RNA
Rfam family: Bacterial small subunit ribosomal RNA
Source: RNAcentral
GUAGGUGGCAAGCGUUGUCCGGAAUUAUUGGGGCGUAAAGCGCGCGCAGGCGGUUCGUUUAAGUCUGAUGUGAAAGCCCACGGGCUCAACCGUGGAGGGUCAUUGGAAACUGGAGAACUUGAGUACAGAAGAGGAAAGCGGAAUUCCACGUGUAGCGGUGAAAUGCGUAGAGAUGUGGAGGAACACCAGUGGCGAAGGCGGCUUUCUGGUCUGUAACUGACGCUGAGGCGCGAAAGCGUGGGGAGCAAACAGGAUUAGAUACCCUGGUAGUCCACGCCGUAAACGAUGAGUGCUAAGUGUUAGGGGGUUUCCGCCCCUUAGUGCUGCAGCUAACGCAUUAAGCACUCCGCCUGGGGAGUACGGCCGCAAAGGCUGA